AACUAACAUAUUUUGGCUUCUAAAAUUAUAAUAAUAAAAACAAGUGUUUUCUUUUAAGCAAGUUACUCAACCGACAUUCAUUAUACACAAGUUGGUUUACAUCUCAUAAAUUAGAAACUUCACAAAAUUAGAGUUGUUCUUUUAAAAGUUAAUUAGUAAUAAAACCAUUUGUACUAGAAAUAAACUGUGGAUUUGUAGAAUUUCAAUUGCAUGAUCAAUUACAAAGAAUGCG
Molecule: long non-coding RNA, 232 nt
Filed under: Mytilus galloprovincialis (Mediterranean mussel)
Lineage: Eukaryota; Metazoa; Mollusca; Bivalvia; Mytilida; Mytilidae
Source: RNAcentral